UAUAUAGAUAGAUAAUAAACUUUAUUGACCCUAGAGCCUUAGCUCCCUCAGGACCAUCAUAAUUAUACAUUAUAAUCAGUGUAAAAUACAGAGCAUAAAAACGAGUAGAACCAAAAUUACGGCAGAUUUCUUCCACCGAUAAAAAAAAGAAAAAAGGUAGUCAAGAUAUUAAAAAUCUGAAGAAGAAUC
Molecule: long non-coding RNA, 189 nt
Organism: Cotesia glomerata
Lineage: Eukaryota; Metazoa; Arthropoda; Insecta; Hymenoptera; Braconidae
Exons: 3
Source: RefSeq, a predicted model, not a curated record